ACUACGCCCGAACUUCCCGGCAGAGUGGCACAACUAACGCAUUACCUCAUCCGCCUGUGGAGUACGGCCACAAGAUUAAAACUCAAAGGAGUCGUCGGUGGCUCGCGUGAUUCGAAAUCACUGCGCGUGAAUAGUGUGUAGGUGGUUUGAUAAGAUCAGAUGUAAAAUCUACAGGCUCAACUUGUAGCUCGCAUCUGAAACUGGAAGACUUGAGGGCAGAAGAGGUAAGUGGAAUUUAUGGUGUAGCGGUUAUAUGCGUAGAUAUCAUAAGGAACACCAAUGGCGAAGGCAGCUUACUGGGCUGUACCUGACACUGAGACACGAAAGCGUGGGGAGCGAACGGGAUUAGAUACCCCGGUAGUCCACGCCGUAAACGAUGCCUACUAGCUGUUCGAAGUUCGACCCUUCGAGUAGCGAAGCUAACGCGUUAAGUAGGCCGCCUGGGGGAGUACGAUCGCAAGAUUAAAACUCAAA
RNAcentral lists this ribosomal RNA (474 nucleotides) under uncultured prokaryote. RNAcentral describes it as "bacterial SSU rRNA". The stretch from base 81 to 474 matches the Rfam family "Bacterial small subunit ribosomal RNA", at positions 1 to 905 of the family's 1533-position model. The record is from RNAcentral.